GUAGGGUCCAAGCGUUAAUCGGAAUUACUGGGCGUAAAGCGUGCGCAGGCGGUUGUGCAAGACCGAUGUGAAAUCCCCGGGCUUAACCUGGGAAUUGCAUUGGUGACUGCACGGCUAGAGUGUGUCAGAGGGGGGUAGAAUUCCACGUGUAGCAGUGAAAUGCGUAGAGAUGUGGAGGAAUACCGAUGGCGAAGGCAGCCCCCUGGGAUAACACUGACGCUCAUGCACGAAAGCGUGGGGGGAGCAAACAGGAUUAGAUACCCUGGUAGUCCACGCCCUAAACGAUGUCAACUAGUUGUUGGGGAUUCAUUUCCUUAGUAACGUAGCUAACGCGUGAAGUUGACCGCCUGGGGAGUACGGUCGCAAGAUUAA
This 372-nucleotide ribosomal RNA is filed under the name uncultured organism. RNAcentral's name for it is "partial 16S ribosomal RNA". It matches the Rfam family "Bacterial small subunit ribosomal RNA", at positions 527 to 897 of the family's 1533-position model. The record is from RNAcentral.